This 460-nucleotide ribosomal RNA is filed under the name uncultured bacterium. RNAcentral's name for it is "partial 16S ribosomal RNA". It matches the Rfam family "Bacterial small subunit ribosomal RNA", at positions 338 to 795 of the family's 1533-position model. The record is from RNAcentral.
CCUACGGGCGGCAGCAGUGAGGAAUAUUGGUCAAUGGCCGGAAGGCUGAACCAGCCAUGCCGCGUGAAGGUCAGUGCCCUAUGGGCGUUAAACUUCUUUUGUGCGGGAGCAAUAAUGGUCACGUGUGGCCAGACGAGAGUACCGUACGAAUAAGCAUCGGCUAACUCCGUGCCAGCAGCCGCGGUAAUACGGGGGAUGCAAGCGUUAUCCGGAUUUAUUGGGUUUAAAGGGUGCGUAGGCUGUGAGGUAAGUCAGCGGUGAAAUGCCCCCGCUCAACGGGGUGAAGUGCCAUUGAUACUGCCUGGCUGGAAUGCGGAUGCAAUGGGAGGAAUGUGUGGUGUAGCGGUGAAAUGCAUAGAUAUCACACAGAACACCGAUUGCGAAGGCAUCUCACGAAUCCGCGAUUGACGCUGAUGCACGAAAGCGUGGGUAUCAAACAGGAUUAGAUACCCGAGUAGUC